CAAGAGCAAACUAAACUUAAUGAACCUCUUAACUCCUAGGUUCCCUGUCUCCUACUUCACCAGAUCUGUCUCUUCUCAUUUAGGUGGCCUUCAUCCCAGGAAAACCAUCUGUCUCACCAGGGAUUUUAAGACUAAGACUUUAAUGAGUGCUAACAUUAGAAGUGCAUGCAGACCUCUCCAACACAAAAUAACUGAGCCUGUCCUCAACCCUGUCUUCAGUGAACCUGAGAGCUUGAGAACACGGCUCAAAUGUGCACUCCCAUGCUUGCAGUGUGGGUGGACCAGGUC
Molecule: long non-coding RNA, 288 nt
Filed under: Calidris pygmaea (Spoon-billed sandpiper)
Lineage: Eukaryota; Metazoa; Chordata; Aves; Charadriiformes; Scolopacidae
Description: lncRNA (ENSCPGG00000017427.1)
Source: RNAcentral